Molecule: ribosomal RNA, 253 nt
Filed under: uncultured bacterium
Lineage: Bacteria
Description: partial 16S ribosomal RNA
Rfam family: Bacterial small subunit ribosomal RNA
Source: RNAcentral
UACGGAGGGUGCAAGCGUUGUCCGGAUUUAUUGGGUUUAAAGGGUGCGUAGGCGGCUUUUUAAGUCAGUGGUGAAAGACAACAGCUCAACUGUUGCAGUGCCAUUGAUACUGAAGAGCUUGAGUACAGAUGAGGUAGGCGGAAUUUAUGGUGUAGCGGUGAAAUGCAUAGAUACCAUAAAGAACACCUAUUGCGAAGGCAGCUUACUAAGCUGUAACUGACGCUGAGGCACGAAAGCCAGGGGAGCGAACGGG